AUUUUCUCCUCUCAUAAUUUAUUAAUAUUAUAAAACAGUUAUUUUGUCAAUUUAGUAGUGGGUAGAUGGGGGGUCUCUUUGUUAGAGACUCUAUCAAACUUACAAAAUUUCUUUUGAAAUUCAAACAUCAAAGCAAUAUUUUCUUCAUGUAAAAGACUUGCUUUCUUUCUCAAUUUCUCAUUUUCCUCUAAAAUACUCAUAUUUUCCAUAUAAAGCUUCAAAUUUCUCAUUUCCAUAUCCACCUUAGUUUCUUUUCCUUCACCUCUUUUCUUCCUUGCAAGCCUAUGAAGUUGAACUCGAGAUAUCUUUGGUCUUUGUUUUUUCUGCAUAGAAAAAUAAAGAGGACGUGAUGAAUUAUUACUCCAUUCUGUUGAACUUAUACACAUUUUGUUUUCACUUCUUGAGGUUUUUAUUUUUCUUGUGAAGAGAAA
RNAcentral lists this unclassified non-coding RNA (431 nucleotides) under Hevea brasiliensis (rubber tree). Lineage: Eukaryota; Viridiplantae; Streptophyta; Magnoliopsida; Malpighiales; Euphorbiaceae. The record is from RNAcentral.